RNAcentral lists this ribosomal RNA (388 nucleotides) under Escherichia coli. RNAcentral describes it as "partial 23S ribosomal RNA". It matches the Rfam family "Bacterial large subunit ribosomal RNA", at positions 2543 to 2925 of the family's 2925-position model. Lineage: Bacteria; Pseudomonadati; Pseudomonadota; Gammaproteobacteria; Enterobacterales; Enterobacteriaceae. The record is from RNAcentral.
CAUCCUGGGGCUGAAGUAGGUCCCAAGGGUAUGGCUGUUCGCCAUUUAAAGUGGUACGCGAGCUGGGUUUAGAACGUCGUGAGACAGUUCGGUCCCUAUCUGCCGUGGGCGCUGGAGAAUUGAGGGGGGCUGCUCCUAGUACGAGAGGACCGGAGUGGACGCAUCACUGGUGUUCGGGUUGUCAUGCCAAUGGCACUGCCCGGUAGCUAAAUGCGGAAGAGAUAAGUGCUGAAAGCAUCUAAGCACGAAACUUGCCCCGAGAUGAGUUCUCCCUGACUCCUUGAGAGUCCUGAAGGAACGUUGAAGACGACGACGUUGAUAGGCCGGGUGUGUAAGCGCAGCGAUGCGUUGAGCUAACCGGUACUAAUGAACCGUGAGGCUUAACCUU